This 1646-nucleotide unclassified non-coding RNA is filed under the name Hevea brasiliensis (rubber tree). The record is from RNAcentral. Lineage: Eukaryota; Viridiplantae; Streptophyta; Magnoliopsida; Malpighiales; Euphorbiaceae.
CAGCAUUUAGAAUCCAAUUUAUUUCUUCAAGACAAGUUUCUGCAUUGUGCAUAGUUUACAUAUGCAUUUUCAGUAUAGACUGAAGAAGCCUAAUACCUGCACUUAAGUUGUAGAUUUAAAUCGAAUAACAGGAGCAUGGAGGGAAGAAAGGUAUAAUUCAUCCGCCUUGUUAAUUCCAUUAAAAAGGUAACUGAAAGGGGCCAUUUCUAUGUACUUUCCAGAACCAGGGACAACCUUCAGUUCAUCAUUUUCCCAUACAACUCUUCCUCCAGCAAUUGUCACCUCAACCUUUCCCUUCCCUUUCUUGCCCUCAUAGACAUUUGUAUCCGUUCGAGAGUGGUGAGACCUUGCACUAAUUUCAAAGCUUGAGUUUGGAUUGAAUAUAAUUAUAUCUGCGUCAGAUCCAGCAAGAAUUGCUCCUUUUCUUGGAUAUAUAUUGAAGAUCUUAGCACAUUCUGUGCUUGUCACCCGAACAAAAUCAGUAACAGAAAUUUGGCCAGAUUCCACCAUUGUGUCCCAAACUAGAUGCAUCCUCUCCUCAAUUCCAUUGACACCAUUUGGAAUUUUGCGGAAAUCAUCAAUUCCGAGGGCUUUUUGUGUAGAAUUAAACGUGCAAUGAUCAGUUCCCACAAGCUGCAGAACUCCAGUUGAAAGGGCAGCUUGUAGGGCCUUGUCAUGUCCUGAUGCUCUAAUAGGGGGACUCAUGACAUACUUUGAUGCAGUGGUGAAAUCAGGAUCCCAAAGCUUAGAAUCAUCAAGAACUAAACCAGAAACCACAGGUUCUCCAAUAACCCUCUGUCCUGACUUUCGAGCUCUAGCUAUCUCUUCCAUUGCAUCAAUACUCAUCACAUGAACUACAUAGAGAGGUGUGUUCACAAACCUCGCUAAACGAAUUGCACGAGCAGUUGCCUCACCUUCCAGCACUGGUGGCCUCGAAAAAGCAUGCCCCUCUGGACCAGUAAUACCAAGUUCUAUCAUUCUUUUCUGUCCUUCAAAUACAGCAUCUCCAUUUUCUGCAUGGACCAUGGCUAAGGCACCAAGAGACUUGCACAUUUUGAAUCCUUCUAACAUAAGCUCAUCAUUGAUCAUAACAAACCCCUUGUACGCCAUAAAAAACUUGAAAGAGUUUAUACCUCUUUCCUUCACCAUAAUUUCCAUUUCCUUUGAAACAACUUCAUCCCAUUUGGUGAUUGCCAUAUGGAAACCGUAAUCCAUGCAAGAGUUCUUUGCCUUUUUUUCAUAGGCUUCAAAACCUGCUGUUAAACUGCCAUUGAUUGGUAAGACAAAAUCAAUAUGCAUUGUUGUUCCACCUGCUAAAGCUGCAGCCUGACCACUGAAGAAGUCAUCAAUGGCCUCGGUACCCAUAAAUGGUAUAGCUAGAUGGGUGUGGGGAUCAAUUCCUCCUGGCAUGACAAACUUUCCAGUCGCAUCAAGCACCUUAACAUCAUCACCAACCUUGAGAUUAGGAUUCACAGCAACAAUGAUCCCAUCCUCAACAUAAACAUCAGCAACCUCUUGAUGAUGAGCAUUCACAACAGUUCCUCCCUUAAUCAAUAGCUUUGAUGAUGAUGACGCUGGAAUUCCACAACCAGCUUCACCAUAUCCAGUCCCAACUUCACAGAACUGGUUUGAUUGUGAUACUGAAG